UACGGGGGGAGCAAGCGUUGUUCGGAUUUACUGGGCGUAAAGGGCGCGUAGGCGGUCGUGACAAGUCACUUGUGAAAUCUCCGGGCUUAACUCGGAACGGUCAAGUGAUACUGUCGGACUAGAGUACAGAAGGGGCAACUGGAAUUCUCGGUGUAGCGGUGAAAUGCGUAGAUAUCGAGAGGAACACCUGCGGCGAAGGCGGGUUGCUGGGCCGACACUGACGCUGAUGCGCGAAAGCCAGGGGAGCGAACGGG
RNAcentral lists this ribosomal RNA (254 nucleotides) under uncultured bacterium. Its description in RNAcentral is "partial 16S ribosomal RNA". It matches the Rfam family "Bacterial small subunit ribosomal RNA", at positions 524 to 776 of the family's 1533-position model. The record is from RNAcentral.